Streptomyces hygroscopicus is the source of this 75-nucleotide non-coding RNA. The record is from Rfam. NCBI's taxonomy places the organism in Bacteria, Bacillati, Actinomycetota, Actinomycetes, Kitasatosporales, Streptomycetaceae.
CUUGAUGGAGCCGAGGUACAGCGGCUGUUCUGCGGUCUUCUCCUUGCCGUACGUGGCCAGCAGCGCCUGCGCCUC